This 82-nucleotide transfer RNA is filed under the name Deinococcus radiodurans R1 = ATCC 13939 = DSM 20539. RNAcentral describes it as "Deinococcus radiodurans R1 tRNA". It matches the Rfam family "tRNA". From Rfam's summary of the family: Transfer RNA (tRNA) molecules are approximately 80 nucleotides in length. Their secondary structure includes four short double-helical elements and three loops (D, anti-codon, and T loops). Lineage: Bacteria; Thermotogati; Deinococcota; Deinococci; Deinococcales; Deinococcaceae. The record is from Rfam by way of RNAcentral.
GUCGGGAUGGCGGAAUCGGUAGACGCAUUCGACUUAAAAUCGACCGAGGCAACUCGUGCGGGUUCAAGUCCCGUUCCCGGCA